This is a small nuclear RNA of Apodemus sylvaticus (European woodmouse), 143 nucleotides long. RefSeq annotates it as U4 spliceosomal RNA. The transcript has a single exon. Lineage: Eukaryota; Metazoa; Chordata; Mammalia; Rodentia; Muridae. The record is from RefSeq and is a predicted model, not a curated record.
AGCUUUGUGCACCUGCAGUAUUGCAGCCAAUGAGGUUUAUCUGAGUCUGUGAUUAUUGCUAAUUGAAAUCUUUUCACAAUACUCCACCAUGACAACUUGCAAUAUAGUUGGCCACUGGCAAUUUUUGACAGUCUCUUCAGAAA